Small nuclear RNA from Vulpes vulpes (red fox), 103 nucleotides. The record is from Ensembl. Lineage: Eukaryota; Metazoa; Chordata; Mammalia; Carnivora; Canidae.
GUGUGCUCAGCAUCACGAUACUAAAACUGGCACAAUACAGACCAGAUUAGCGCUGCCCCUGCACGAGGAUCAGGUGCAAAUUCAUGAAGCAUUCCAUAUUUAA